This 807-nucleotide long non-coding RNA is filed under the name Sorghum bicolor (sorghum). RNAcentral describes it as "long non-coding RNA (SBIC_LNC016629)". Lineage: Eukaryota; Viridiplantae; Streptophyta; Magnoliopsida; Poales; Poaceae. The record is from RNAcentral.
CUAGGCUUAAAAGAUUCAUCUUGUCAAUUUCGACCAAACUGUGCAAUUAGUUUUUAUUUUCGUCUAUAUUUAAUACUCCAUGCAUGGGUCUAAAUAUUCGAUAUGAUGAAAAAUCUGAAAAAUUUUGUAAAAUUUUUUAAGAACUAAACAAAGCCUUAGCAGUAGCUAGCAGCCCAGGACCCCGGAACAACCGUAUCAGCAUGAGUCCGUCGGUCCGUGUCAUCUCAUCUCAGGUUGCCUGCAGCCUGAACCUGUGCCGCGUCACUUGCAUUGCAGGCUACAGCGCCUCGGCAGCUCGCUGUUCGAGAUCGAUUUUUUUUUGAAAGGCGGCAAAAGGAUUUUGCCGGAUUUUAAUUAGAUGAGGAAAAAACAAAAAAAAAAUACAACAUGAUCAAGCAAAAACAAGACGAAAAGACUGUUCGAGAUCGAUACAGAAGGGAUUAUCCAUGUAUCGGUAGGCAUCAGUUCAACUCGAGAUUCUUGCUUUGUCUGCAGACCUGCACAAGUGAGGAAACCAUAUUCGGCGUCUGGUGCAUGAUGUUUGUUGUAUCCCCUUUGAUCGGCUGCUUAACUCCUCAACAACAGUUCCUCUCGUGCUGGAACAAUGAACACAUAUGCAUGCACUUGGACAGUUGGGGAGGGCUGCUUCCUUGUGCUUGAAUUUGCUCGUCGGCGUACUACUCGUCUACUCCAAGUUGUUCCAAGACCGGCCGCAGUAUAUAUAAAUUCCGCGGCUAAUGCAUGCCGGUCUAAUUCCGGUCCAAGGGGCUUGAAUGCUAAAUGAACCAAUAUGAAGAACAAAACAUG